UACAGAGGCCCCAAGCGUUAUCCGGAUUCACUGGGCGUAAAGGGUGCGUAGGCGGUUAUAUUAGUCAGGUGUUAAAUCUUUGGGCUCAACCCAAAAAUCGCAUCUGAAACGGUAUAACUAGAAUUAGUCAGAGGUACAGAGAGCUCUCGGUGUAGGGGUGAAAUCCGUUGAUAUCGAGGGAAAUACCAAAUGCGAAGGCACUGUACUGGGGCUUAAUUGACGCUGAGGCACGAAAGCGUGGGUAGCGAACGGG
Molecule: unclassified non-coding RNA, 253 nt
Filed under: uncultured Parcubacteria group bacterium
Lineage: Bacteria
Description: contains 16S-23S intergenic spacer region
Rfam family: Bacterial small subunit ribosomal RNA
Source: RNAcentral